Molecule: long non-coding RNA, 1839 nt
Organism: Ceratina calcarata
Lineage: Eukaryota; Metazoa; Arthropoda; Insecta; Hymenoptera; Apidae
Exons: 3
Source: RefSeq, a predicted model, not a curated record
AUUUUAUAUUCGAUGAUUUUUACGGUACAACCGUGCGGGAACUCGGUCUCUUCGCCGUCGUCCUCUUCGGAGCUCAGUAUACGUAUACUUACGUGUACAGCGUAUACUGUACAGUAUACGUUUGGUCAGCAGCUAUUUCGCUCCGCUGCUUCUUAUGAAUCGACGCGGCGCGGUGGCUGCGGCGUGUGUCGAGUGAAGUGCAAAUGCAACUAGUGAAAUCAUCGGAAUCGAAUUAUAUUCCGUUGGAUAGAUCGAAAGAUGCUUAGACAGGAAUACGUCUGGCACGCGUCGCGGUUGUGCAGUUGUGAGUUGUGACGUGUGGGAUCUUUUUUCAAUUCCUUUUCCGUGUAUUAUGGCCGACGAACUGGUUUCUCCGACGCGACAGGAAAUUGGUGAUCGUCCUGCGAUUUCGGCAUAAAUGCGAUCGAGGAAGGGGAGUUUUUUUUGUGCAAUCGAUGACGCAAAGGAUAGAUGGGAUUCCAGGCUCCGGUCUCGAUUUGGGAUCUUCGCCCUGCGAGUGAAAUUGCCGUCAUCGAUCUCAGUGCUGUGUCGUGCCAUGAUCCGUGAUCGAUAAGUGGGAAACGAAUUAUCCGCGAAAGCGAUCGCGAUUUACGUGGUGCGUUUUGUUUAUUCUCGAUACGUGUUACCCGCUAUUUUUCGACGGCUCAACCGAAAAUAAGUCGAACAAGUGUUUCGUUUCUCGAUCAGCUCAAAUUCUUUGGGAUGGGAUUCGCAUCUGGUGUUUCUUUCUUGACGAUACAACGUUGACUACAGCUGACGAGAUCGACGACGAUCGAAGGGAGGAGUUUCCGAUUACUCGAGUGCACGCAUACACGGCAGAACGACGGCGACGCGACGGAAGGCAGUCGAAGUCGAAGCAGGGAAGAACGAGGAACGGGAGAACAAGGAUGAGGAUGAGACUCGAGAAUGGAAGAUGGUGCGGCUGCCGCGAGGUCGUUCGUCCACGCAGAAGCUGAGAUCGCAGCCAGAGGCUUUCCCAACGUUACAUAUUCUGCGUUCAUCGUUGCGCGUAGCGAAAUCGCGACGAAUACGAAUGGAACAUCAGACUCGUUGGAUACUGGACCAACAUUUGUACAGGCAACCUUCGAACAGGUGCUCGUCCCUUGAGCCGUGGCACGUAGCGCGUGGCGCAUCGUGACGCGAGAAGCGAAAAUAUGCCGUCGUAAGAGGGGGAGUAAGAAAGGUCUCGAGUUCUUUCUUUGAACUCGCCCCACAAAAUCAGUCUCAUAACUUUCUGCAUAAUUUACUACUUUCCUUCACCUGUUCGCUGAACAUUCCCAUGAAUGUAAAAGGGUUUUGUAAUCCAUGAAAUAAAUAAAAUGAAAAUCAACCGAGGAAAUAUCACCGACGAUCAAUUAGAACGUGCAAAAUUAUAACAUCGAAGUCGAUUGUACGUCGCCCAUGAAUUCGGAAACGUUCGGUCGUAUACAGAUGAAAGCAUUGAGCGGAAAAGGCUAUACAGACACUGUCUAGGAGUCUUCCUAAUCCUAGGGACUGUCUAGGACGGGUAAAUCCGAAUAAAUAAGUAAAUAAAUACAUAAAUAAAUAAAUAUACCGAUGAAAGCGCGUCGUGCUAAAUCAUUUCCCACAGAAUAAUGCUUUUCGAGAAAGUCGAAGUUAUGGAUCUUCACAGCCUCGAGGAACAAGGUCGAGUUGAAUAGCAUACUACGCAUGCACCAUCAUCGCGGUACGUGCAUCCCGAAUCGCGACACAUUCCAUUGAUACAGGUAUUUAUUGUUAGUGGUUAGCGCGAAUACCGUUUGCGACGAGCGGCGAGGCGAGAAAUGAGAAAACGUACCUAGAUCGUUUUGCUGUAGA